RNAcentral lists this ribosomal RNA (2357 nucleotides) under human gut metagenome. Its description in RNAcentral is "bacterial LSU rRNA". It matches the Rfam family "Bacterial large subunit ribosomal RNA", at positions 446 to 2814 of the family's 2925-position model. The record is from RNAcentral.
GCCGGGACCAUCCGGUAAGGCUAAAUACUCCCGAGAGACCGAUAGCGAACCAGUACUGUGAAGGAAAGGUGAAAAGCACUUCGAAUAGAAGAGUGAAAUAGUCCCUGAAACCAUGCGCCUACAAGCGGUCGGAGCAGCUUCAGCUGUGACGGCGUGCCUUUUGCAUAAUGAACCUACGAGUUACUUUUUCCGGCAAGGUUAAGCAUCUUGAGAUGUGGAUCCGAAGCGAAAGCGAGUCUGAACAGGGCGGAUAGUCGGAAGGAGUAGACGCGAAACCAAGUGAUCUACCCUUGGGCAGGUUGAAGGUUAGGUAACACUAACUGGAGGACCGAACCGAUAAGCGUUGAAAAGCUUCCGGAUGACCUGAGGGUGGGGGUGAAAGGCUAAUCAAACUUGGAGAUAGCUCGUACUCCCCGAAAUGCAUUUAGGUGCAGCCUUGAGAGUUACUAAUGUGAGGUAGAGCGACUGAUAAGAUGCGAGGGCUUCACCGCCUAUCAAGUCUUGAUAAACUCCGAAUGCGCAUUAGUUCUAUCUCAGGAGUGAGGGCAUGGGUGCUAAGGUCCAUGUCCUAAAGGAGAAGAAUCCAGACCAUCAGCUAAGGUCCCCAAAUAAACACUAAGUUGAACUAACGAAGUCAGAUUGCUAAGACAGCUAGGAUGUUGGCUUGGAAGCAGCCAUUCAUUUAAAGAGUGCGUAACAGCUCACUAGUCGAGGAGUUUGGCGUGGAUAAUAAUCGGGCAUAAGUGUUUUACCGAAGCUAUGGGAUCCUAACGGAUCGGUAGGGGAGCAUUCCACUCAGCGUUGAAGGCGAAGCGUGAGCUUUACUGGAGCGUGUGGAAAAGCAAAUGUAGGUAUAAGUAACGAUAAAGGGGGUGAGAAACCCCCUCGCCGAAAGACUAAGGUUUCCUGAUCAACGCUAAUCGGAUCAGGGUUAGUCGGGUCCUAAGGCUCAGCCGAACGGUGAGGCCGAUGGCAGAACAGGUUAAUAUUCCUGUACUACCUAUAGGAGUGAUGUGGAGACGGAGGAGUGACAACGCCGCGGACUGACGGAAUAGUCCGUUAAAGGGUGUAGAUGUUGAUUAUCCCAGGCAAAUCCGGGAUAAGAGUCGAACCUGACAGUAUACCAAUUUCCUCGGAAAACGGUAAUAGUGCGUGUAAACAUACUCCCAAGAAAAUCCGCUAAACUUAAUCUUAUAGGUACCCGUACCGUAAACGGACACACGUAGUCGGGUUGAAUAUACUCAGGCGCUUGAGUGAAUCACGGUUAAGGAACUAGGCAAAUUGACCCUGUAACUUCGGGAUAAAGGGUCCCUACCCGGUGACGGGAGGGCGCAGAGAAUAGGUCCAGGCAACUGUUUAACAAAAACACAGGGCUGUGCAAAAUUGAAAGAUCACGUAUACAGCCUGACACCUGCCCGGUGCUGGAAGGUUAAGAGGAGAUGUCAUCGCAAGAGAAGCAUUGAAUUGAAGCCCCAGUAAACGGCGGCCGUAACUAUAACGGUCCUAAGGUAGCGAAAUUCCUUGUCGGGUAAGUUCCGACCUGCACGAAUGGUGUAAUGAUCUGGACACUGUCUCAACCGUGAGCUCAGUGAAAUUGUAGUAUCGGUGAAGAUGCCGAUUACCCGCGAUGGGACGAAAAGACCCCGUGAACCUUUACUAUAGCUUAACAUUGAAUUUGGGUAAUUGAUGUGUAGGAUAGGCCGGAGACUUUGAAGCAGGCACGCCAGUGUUUGUGGAGUCGCUGUUGAAAUACGGCCCUUUGGUUAUUUGAGUUCUAACUCGCUGAUGCGAGGACACUGUUUGGUGGGUAGUUUGACUGGGGUGGUCGCCUCCAAAAGCGUAACGGAGGCUUCUAAAGGUGCCCUCACGCCGAUUGGUAACCGGCGGUAGAGUGUAAUGGCAUAAGGGCGCUUGACUGGGAGACUUACAAGUCGAUCAGGUAGGAAACUAGAGCAUAGUGAUCCGGUGUUUCCGUAUGGAAGGGACAUCGCUCAAAGGAUAAAAGGUACUCCGGGGAUAACAGGCUGAUCCCUCCCAAGAGCUCAUAUCGACGGAGGGGUUUGGCACCUCGAUGUCGGCUCGUCACAUCCUGGGGCUGGAGAAGGUCCCAAGGGUUGGGCUGUUCGCCCAUUAAAGUGGCACGCGAGCUGGGUUCAGAACGUCGUGAGACAGUUCGGUCUCUAUCUAUCGUGGGCGUAUGAAAUUUGCGUGGCUCUGACACUAGUACGAGAGGACCGUGUUGGACUGACCUCUGGUUUACCGGUUGUGCCGCCAGGUGCAUUGCCGGGUAUCUAAGUCGGGAUUGGAUAAGUGCUGAAAGCAUCUAAGUACGAAGCCAGCCACAAGAUUAGAUUUCU